AUUGAACGCUGGCGGAAUGCUUUACACAUGCAAGUCGAACGGCAGCACGGGGGCAACCCUGGUGGCGAGUGGCGAACGGGUGAGUAAUACAUCGGAACGUGCCCAGUCGUGGGGGAUAACGUAGCGAAAGUUACGCUAAUACCGCAUACGAUCUACGGAUGAAAGCGGGGGACCGUAAGGCCUCGCGCGAUUGGAGCGGCCGAUGUCAGAUUAGGUAGGUGGUGAGGUAAAGGCUCACCAAGCCGACGAUCUGUAGCUGGUCUGAGAGGACGACCAGCCUCACUGGGACGGGGACAGGGCCCAGACUCCUACGGGAGGCAGCAGUGGGGAAUUUUGGACAAUGGGCGCAAGCCUGAUCCAGCCAUUCCGCGUGCAGGACGAAGGCCUUCGGGUUGUAAACUGCUUUUGUACGGAACGAAAAGGCUCUGGUUAAUACCUGGGGCUCAUGACGGUACCGUAAGAAUAAGCACCGGCUAACUACGUGCCAGCAGCCGCCGUAA
Molecule: ribosomal RNA, 500 nt
Filed under: uncultured bacterium
Lineage: Bacteria
Description: partial 16S ribosomal RNA
Rfam family: Bacterial small subunit ribosomal RNA
Source: RNAcentral